ACACACACACACACACACACAUAUACACAGUACACAUAAAAAUAUACAAAUACAUAUACAUAUGCAUGUAUAUGUAUAUAUAUGUGUGUGUGUGUGUGUGUAU
This 103-nucleotide microRNA precursor is filed under the name Podarcis lilfordi (Lilford's wall lizard). The record is from RNAcentral. Lineage: Eukaryota; Metazoa; Chordata; Lepidosauria; Squamata; Lacertidae.